UACAGAGACCUCAAGCGUUAUCCGGAAUCAUUGGGCGUAAAGCGUACCGAUAGGUGGUUAUGCAAGUCAGAUGUGAAAUCUCCGAGCUCAACUCGGAAUCUGUCAUUUGAAACUGCACAACUAGAGGGGCAAAGAGGAAGCUAGAACGAACGGUGUAGUAGUGAAAUGCGUUGAUAUCGUUCGGAAUACCGAUAGCGAAGGCAGCUCGCUGGGACGGUACUGACGCUAAGGCGCGAAAGCGUGGGGAGCGAACAGG
This 256-nucleotide ribosomal RNA is filed under the name uncultured bacterium. Its description in RNAcentral is "partial 16S ribosomal RNA". It matches the Rfam family "Bacterial small subunit ribosomal RNA", at positions 524 to 776 of the family's 1533-position model. The record is from RNAcentral.